UCAUUGCUCUUUAGGCUGGAUUUAAAGAUGUUAAAUCACUUUGAAACCACUUUCUUAUUAUGAUUCACAAAGCAAAUCAGUUCUGGAUGAGCUUUGUCUGGGAAAAUCAACCAUGGAGAUGUCAUCAGGGUUCUCUAAGCUUUGGAUUGGAGACUUUUUUUUUUUACCCCAGAAAGCCUGUGUUACAAAGAUGGGGUUUGAAAGAUGUAAGCGUUUACCAGGCAGGGAGGGUUUAAUGAUACCAUAGUAGGGACCAAAGAUAUCUCAAAGCUUCGAUUUUGACUGUUUUUCUUUUAAUCUGUCUCUUGUGAGUCUCCCGACUUUAACAAGUGCAAUAGUGAGACACCCUGACCCACAGUGCAUUGUUAGUUCAAGUUUGUUGCUCAAAAUCACAUCACAUAAUCACCGGGACGGAUGGUGUUUUCCACGGGACAGUGCGCCAAAGAGUCGGUAGGGAGGACUGACCGGGUCGCGGCAACUGUUCCACAUAUAAAUUCUGCGAUUUGUUCUUAUAUAAGUUGCCAAAGACACUACCUACUACCACAUUUCUGUUGUUUGUUCUUAACAUUGCUGUGUGGGUUGAAGUGUGGGACAUUUCUCUUUCUUUUUGAAAGCUUAGCGUUAUCCAGUGAAGCAUCUGUUUUGUUGUCAGAGUCUGAAUAUUGACUCACAAAGCAAACGGAGAGAAAUGUUGUGGAUCACAUAUUCAUUAAAAAAUUGAGCUGAAGUUACUUUCUCUUCUUUUAGGUAGACAGAUGCAUUUCUCAUUGAAUGUUUUAAUUGUUUGGCAUAAUUAUAUAUUACUCUCAUGUGGACCUACACCUAAGUAAAAAUAGGAUGUACACUAUGAUUUUGUUGACAAAGCAGAUGGGGAGAAAUGUUGUAGAUCAUAUUCUUGUUGUAAAAUUGAUUUGGAGUUACCUUAUCGUAGAAGUUAAAGGAAAUAGCUAUUUACAAGUUUUAGUGCUAUUUGUUGUUUUGUCUGGUGUUUCUUUUAUGUGUUGAAUCAGACUCGGUCUAAACAGCUACACAUGCCCCAUAUUUGGUAUCAAAUUAAAGAGGAUUUUUUUAAAUGAACACAACUUGUGAUUGUCAAUGUCUUUUAUGAAGAAGAUAGCGCUGUUUGUUUGGACUGAGUAGGUCUGAGGGUUCACAGUGAACUGCAGCAACAUUAUAGAAUUCGACUGGGGUCUAGAGGGUUAAAGGUAGAUUGAAAGACAGGUGGGAUGCAUUGUGUACUACUACUUACUUUAACUGUAUUCUAGAUAUUUACGUACUUUUUAAAACAUAUUAAUUCUUUUAAAUGUAUCCCCUUUGAUCGCUGACUUUUAGACCUUUGGAAAGAACUAGAACCUCACCAAAAGUGAAAUGAACGUCAUUCUACAAGUCAAGUGUGCACAGUUCUAUAAAGACUGUCCAAAUUCCAAAACUUUUAAGCUUCAGAAAGUUUGUUUUCCACACACUCUGUGCGGUGCUGUGGAUUCCACACGAGGCAAACACUCCUAAGGAAGCAAUGAGGAAAAGUGAAGCCUGCAGAGUUAACAUUUUGAGACUAGAAGAUCUUCCUGCAACACAGUCGCUGUGCUCAGCUGGAAACAGCUUCAGGUUGAACAGGUCCCACACUAUGAUGACGCUUUCCUCUUUUUCUCUGGCUCCCUCUCUGUGUCAGUUAUUCCUCUCUGGCUUAUGUCAGUGUAGGUUCUUCUUGCAAGACUUUAUGUCAAGCAGGUGUGUGGGCGGGGAGGUGGCAGUGUCGACAAAAACAAACAUGACAUCAGAGAGGACAGGAUGUGUUUUUCGCACCAGUGUAGUCACCUGCUGUGAACGCUACUACAGAGAGUAAAAGAAGCGAUGACUGGUGGACGGAGGAAGUGGCUCCUGCUGAAGAUCUGCGGGGAAACUGACUUGUGGACAUACAUGUGUGUCACUUCUGUACCUGUCCCUACUAUAUGUGUAAUAAAGCCAGACUAACGAGGCUGGGUUACCAACUGGGCAAACAACUAACCCAGCGCUCCAUGCUUACUGUGUGUCUACUGUAGCUUGUGCUGAUUUAAUUGACUAUUUGUUUUGGAAUAUACACCACCAAAGCACAACAUCAACUGACAUGAUAGUCUUGACAUGGGCUCUGCUUUAUUACCUAAUCUUGAAGAAGGUCCCUGUGUCCCUGUUGCCAGUUUAAGACACAUAUACACAGUGCACACAGAGUGACAUUAACAGUGGGUUGGGGGGCCCGGCAAUCCAAGUUUUUUUCAAAACUCUUUAAUAACCAGAUUUGAAAGAUCAUUGACAAAAUAUUUAGUUAUUUUUGUGAAAAAGGAAGGAUACAUACUGUAUAUCUCAUAUCUAUCUUUAGGUUUUUCUACUGUAUAAACCUGUGUGUGUGUGUGUGUGUGUG
Long non-coding RNA from Siniperca chuatsi (mandarin fish), 2395 nucleotides. RefSeq lists it as uncharacterized. The record is from RefSeq and is a predicted model, not a curated record. NCBI's taxonomy places the organism in Eukaryota, Metazoa, Chordata, Actinopteri, Centrarchiformes, Sinipercidae. The transcript has 4 exons.